GCCUUCGUGGUGUAGUGGUCAGCACGCUCGGCCGCGUAUUCGAGAAUUCCGUGGUUCGAGUCCCGGCGAAGGCA
This 74-nucleotide transfer RNA is filed under the name Stegodyphus mimosarum. It matches the Rfam family "tRNA". Rfam says of the family: Transfer RNA (tRNA) molecules are approximately 80 nucleotides in length. Their secondary structure includes four short double-helical elements and three loops (D, anti-codon, and T loops). The record is from Rfam by way of RNAcentral. Lineage: Eukaryota; Metazoa; Arthropoda; Arachnida; Araneae; Eresidae.